Penaeus indicus is the source of this 115-nucleotide small nuclear RNA. RefSeq annotates it as U5 spliceosomal RNA. Lineage: Eukaryota; Metazoa; Arthropoda; Malacostraca; Decapoda; Penaeidae. The transcript has a single exon. The record is from RefSeq and is a predicted model, not a curated record.
UAAUUAUGUUAUUAAUAAUCAAACACAUAAAUCUUUCGCCAUUUACUAAAGAUUUCCUUGGAAGGGAUCAAAAUGAGUCUUACUCAAUUAUUCUUUAGUCCACUUCGAUGGAUUC